CCAUGAGGAUGUCUCUGUAGAGGAGCUACUCAGCUCUCUCACUGUCUUAUCUCUCAGUUGGUUUAUCUGGUCUGUGUCAGGAUGUCACUCAUAUUACUGUUGCUCCUCUCUGCAUUUGUAGGUGAUAGUAUGGAGCAGGAAACAAUAACUCCAGUGAAGCCUGAAGUCAAUGUCCUCCAAGGAACAGACAUCACUCUCUCCUGCAACUACAAGGGCAACAUUAUCAAUCUACAAUGGUACCGUCAAUACCCCGGAUCCAGACCAGAAUGUCUACUUUUGAUCCAACAAAGCGGCAUGUUUAUACAGAAUACAUCCAUUACGACUCCACGACACACUGGUAGACUGAAUGAAGAGAAGACCCGUGUUGACUUGAUGAUCUCCUCUGUUGAAUUGGAAGACUCUGCUCUGUACCACUGUGCCUUGCAGCCCACAGUGACAGGAAACCCAGACACACUGUACAAAAACCUGUCAAGACCCUAGAGGGUGAACAGUGCAUUGUAUUCUGAUCAAUCAGUUAUCAUUUAGAGUACAUUAAUACAUACAUUUUUCCUGAAUAUCCAGAUGAAUUGAAAAAGAAGCAAGAAAACACAUUUAAUAUAAAUAUUAUUCAGGAAAUAAUAAUUCAUAUUUUCUGCAUCUUCCUGUUCUGAUAUUACAUGA
Non-coding RNA from Salvelinus sp. IW2-2015, 660 nucleotides. The record is from the annotation of a RefSeq genome assembly. NCBI's taxonomy places the organism in Eukaryota, Metazoa, Chordata, Actinopteri, Salmoniformes, Salmonidae.